AUGUAUAUUAUAGAGCAGUUCCACGAUUACAAGAUGGUUGAAAACCGCCCUGUACUGGAGCAGGCUCAUGAGAUAAUAUGCAUUGUUAAGGAGCUUGAGCUUCUUAAGUGCGAGUUACCGGGCAAGUUUGUCGCGGGCUGCAUAGUCGCUAAGCUCCCUAAUUCCUGGAGGAACUUUGCCACCACCCUGAAACAUCAGAGGCAUGAAUUCUCUGUGGAGGAUGUCAUUGGCCAUCUGAGUGUUGAGCAGAAUUCGAGGGAAAAAGACUCGCACGGAAAAGGGGUCGAAGGGACUUCUGUCGCCAACAUGGUGAACCCGAAGAACUUCAACUCCCACAAGCCCAAGGUAAAAAUGGUGUCCAACACAAUACCGACUUUAAGAAGAAGGGUAAGAGGACCUUCAAGAAGAACAAGAAGGAUGAGGGCUGCUUUACUUGUGGUUCGGUUGAACAUUGGGCCAACAAGUGCCCAAACAAGUACAAGAAGCCAGGACAGGACUCCAAGUCUGUCAACAUAA
Molecule: ribosomal RNA, 516 nt
Filed under: Triticum aestivum (bread wheat)
Lineage: Eukaryota; Viridiplantae; Streptophyta; Magnoliopsida; Poales; Poaceae
Description: partial small subunit ribosomal RNA
Source: RNAcentral